CCCUUAGAUGUUCUGGGCUGCACGCGCGCUACACUGAACAGUUCAACAAGUCUUAACCUUGGCCGAUAGGUCUGGGUAAUCUUUGAACGCUGUUCGUGAUUGGGAUAGACCUUUGCAAUUAUGGGUCUUCAACGAGGAAUUCCUAGUAAACGCAAGUCAUCAGCUUGCAUUGAUUACGUCCCUGCCCUUUGUACACACCGCCCGUCGCACCUACCGAUUGAAUGGUCCGGUGAAAUCUCGGGACGGCGGCUUGGUCGCUUGCGUCCGACUGCUGAAACUUGAUUAAACCAUAUCAUUUAGAGGAAGGUGAAGUCGUANCA
RNAcentral lists this ribosomal RNA (320 nucleotides) under uncultured eukaryote. RNAcentral's name for it is "partial 18S ribosomal RNA". It matches the Rfam family "Eukaryotic small subunit ribosomal RNA", at positions 1470 to 1796 of the family's 1831-position model. The record is from RNAcentral.